GUUGGAUUAAAUGAUCUCUUAGGUCUCUUUCCACUCUAAUCUAUUAUUCUGUGAUCCUAUAGUUGCUGGAGAAGGACUCAAUCUUUUAACUUUAAUGUUCAAACUGAAGAACGAAUCACAGCUCAAUCUACUCUAUAGAGGUGCCUUAAGUCUCCAAAAUGUUGAAGGGGCUGAAGAAAAUUAUUUUGACAACUAUGUGAAGGAUAAAUUGGAAGAGGAAGAUUCUGGAUGCAGAGAGACUAAUUAGGAGGACAUUACUCAUGUCCAGGUGAGAGGUGAUGAGGGUGGAUAUUCUGGAGGUGGACUCAAUUUGGCAG
This 317-nucleotide long non-coding RNA is filed under the name Vombatus ursinus (common wombat). Its description in RNAcentral is "lncRNA (ENSVURG00010002713.1)". Lineage: Eukaryota; Metazoa; Chordata; Mammalia; Diprotodontia; Vombatidae. The record is from RNAcentral.